CGACGAUCAGUAGCUGGUCUGAGAGGACGACCAGCCACACUGGAACUGAGACACGGUCCAGACUCCUACGGGAGGCAGCAGUGGGGAAUUUUGGACAAUGGGCGCAAGCCUGAUCCAGCCAUUCCGCGUGAGUGAAGAAGGCCUUCGGGUUGUAAAGCUCUUUCGCAAGGGAAGAAAACUUACUUUCUAAUAAAGAGUGAGGCUGACGGUACCUUGAUAAGAAGCACCGGCUAACUACGUGCCAGCAGCCGCGGUAAUACGUAGGGUGCGAGCGUUAAUCGGAAUUACUGGGCGUAAAGCGUGCGCAGGCGGUUUGGCAAGUCAGAUGUGAAAUCCCCGAGCUCAACUUGGGAACUGCGUUUGAAACUGCCAGACUAGAAUAUGUCAGAGGGGGGUAGAAUUCCACGUGUAGCAGUGAAAUGCGUAGAGAUGUGGAGGAAUACCAAUGGCGAAGGCAGCCCCCUGGGAUAAUAUUGACGCUCAUGCACGAAAGCGUGGGGAGCAAACAGGAGUAGAUACCCUGGUAGUCCACGCCCUAAACGAUGUCUACUAGUUGUUGGUGGAGUAAAAUACAUGAGUAACGCAGCUAACGCGUGAAGUAGACCGCCUGGGGAGUACGGUCGCAAGAUUAAAACUCAAAGGAAUUGACGGGGGCCCGCACACGCGGUGGAUUAUGUGGAUUAAUUCGAUGCAACGCGAAAAACCUUACCUGGCCUUGACAUGCCACUAACGAAGCAGAGAUGCAUUAGGUGCCCGAAAGGGAAAGUGGACACAGGUGCUGCAUGGCUGUCGUCAGCUCGUGUCGUGAGAUGUUGGGUUAAGUCCCGCAACGAGCGCAACCCCCGCCAUUAAUUGCCAUCAUUUAGUUGGGCACUUUAAUGGGACUGCCGGUGACAAACCGGAGGAAGGUGGGGAGGACGUCAAGUCCUCAUGGCCCUUAUGGCCAGGGCUUCACACGUAAUACAAUGGUCGGUACAGAGAGUUGCCAAGCCGCGAGGUGGAGCUAAUCUCAGAAAGCCGAUCGUAGUCCGGAUUGUUCUCUGCAACUCGAGAGCAUGAAGUCGGAAUCGCUAGUAAUCGCGGAUCAGCAUGUUGCG
This 1097-nucleotide ribosomal RNA is filed under the name uncultured bacterium. Its description in RNAcentral is "bacterial SSU rRNA". It matches the Rfam family "Bacterial small subunit ribosomal RNA", at positions 274 to 1361 of the family's 1533-position model. The record is from RNAcentral.